Molecule: ribosomal RNA, 446 nt
Filed under: uncultured bacterium
Lineage: Bacteria
Description: partial 16S ribosomal RNA
Rfam family: Bacterial small subunit ribosomal RNA
Source: RNAcentral
CCUACGGGUGGCAGCAGUCGAGAAUCAUUCACAAUGGGGGAAACCCUGAUGGUGCGACGCCGCGUGGGGGAAUGAAGGUCUUCGGAUUGUAAACCCCUGUCAUGUGGGAGCAAAUUAAAAAGAUAGUACCACAAGAGGAAGAGACGGCUAACUCUGUGCCAGCAGCCGCGGUAAUACAGAGGUCUCAAGCGUUGUACGGAAUCACUGGGCGUAAAGCGUGCGUAGGCUGUUGCGUAAGUCGUGUGUGAAAGGCGCGGGCUCAACCCGCGGACGGCACAUGAUACUGCGAGACUAGAGUAAGGGAGGGGGAACCGGAAUUCUCGGUGUAGCAGUGAAAUGCGUAGAUAUCGAGAGGAACACUCGUGGCGAAGGCGGGUUCCUGGACAUUAACUGACGCUGAGGCACGAAGGCCAGGGGAGCGAAAGGGAUUAGAUACCCGAGUAGUC